Molecule: ribosomal RNA, 253 nt
Filed under: uncultured bacterium
Lineage: Bacteria
Description: partial 16S ribosomal RNA
Rfam family: Bacterial small subunit ribosomal RNA
Source: RNAcentral
UACAGAGGUCUCAAGCGUUGUUCGGAUUCAUUGGGCGUAAAGGGUGCGUAGGCGGCGCGGUAAGUCGGGUGUGAAAUCUCGGAGCUUAACUCCGAAACUGCAUUCGAUACUGCCGUGCUUAAGGACUGGAGAGGAGACUGGAAUUCACGGUGUAGCAGUGAAAUGCGUAGAUAUCGUGAGGAAGACCAGUGGCGAAGGCGGGUCUCUGGACAGUUCCUGACGCUGAGGCGCGAAGGCCAGGGGAGCAAACGGG